RNAcentral lists this ribosomal RNA (525 nucleotides) under uncultured bacterium. RNAcentral's name for it is "bacterial SSU rRNA". It matches the Rfam family "Bacterial small subunit ribosomal RNA", at positions 777 to 1300 of the family's 1533-position model. The record is from RNAcentral.
AAUAGAUACCCGGUAGUCCAUGCCGUAAACGUUGGGCGCUAGAUGUGGGACCAGUUCCACGGUUUCCGUGUCGCAGCUAACGCAUUAAGCGCCCCGCCUGGGGAGUACGGCCGCAAGGCUAAAACUCAAAGGAAUUGACGGGGGCCCGCACAAGCGGCGGAGCAUGCGGAUUAAUUCGAUGCAACGCGAAGAACCUUACCAAGGCUUGACAUAUACGAGAACGCUCUAGAAAUAGAGAACUCUUUGGACACUCGUAUACAGGUGGUGCAUGGUUGUCGUCAGCUCGUGUCGUGAGAUGUUGGGUUAAGUCCCGCAACGAGCGCAACCCUCGUUCUAUGUUGCCAGCACGUCAUGGUGGGAACUCAUAGGAGACUGCCGGGGUCAACUCGGAGGAAGGUGGGGAUGACGUCAAAUCAUCAUGCCCCUUAUGUCUUGGGCUUCACGCAUGCUACAAUGGCCGGUACAAUGGGCUGCGAUACCGUAAGGUGGAGCGAAUACCCAAAAAGCCGGUCUCAGUUCGGAUUG